RNAcentral lists this ribosomal RNA (506 nucleotides) under uncultured bacterium. Its description in RNAcentral is "partial 16S ribosomal RNA". It matches the Rfam family "Bacterial small subunit ribosomal RNA", at positions 29 to 523 of the family's 1533-position model. The record is from RNAcentral.
AGUGAACGCUGGCGGUAGGCCUAACACAUGCAAGUCGAACGGCAGCACAGGAGAGCUUGCUCUCUGGGUGGCGAGUGGCGGACGGGUGAGGAAUACAUCGGAAUCUACUCUGUCGUGGGGGAUAACGUAGGGAAACUUACGCUAAUACCGCAUACGACCUACGGGUGAAAGCAGGGGACCUUCGGGCCUUGCGCGAUUGAAUGAGCCGAUGUCGGAUUAGCUAGUUGGCGGGGUAAAGGCCCACCAAGGCGACGAUCCGUAGCUGGUCUGAGAGGAUGAUAGGCCACACUGGAACUGGGACACGGUCCAGACUCCUACGGGAGGCAGCAGUGGGGUAUAUUGGACAAUGGGCGCAAGCCUGAUCCAGCCAUACCGCGUGGGUGAAGAAGGCCUUCGGGUCGUAAAGCCCUUUUGUUGGGAAAGAAAUCCAGCUGGCUAAUACCCGGUUGGGAUGACGGUACCCAAAGAAUAAGCACCGGCUAACUUCGUGCCAGCAGCCGCGGUAA